Molecule: ribosomal RNA, 254 nt
Filed under: uncultured bacterium
Lineage: Bacteria
Description: partial 16S ribosomal RNA
Rfam family: Bacterial small subunit ribosomal RNA
Source: RNAcentral
UACGAAGGGGGCUAGCGUUGUUCGGAAUUACUGGGCGUAAAGCGCACGUAGGCGGCUUUGUAAGUUAGAGGUGAAAGCCCGGGGCUCAACUCCGGGCCUGCAGCCGAUACGGGCAGACUAGAGUUCGGCAGGGGAGACUGGAAUUCCUGGUGUAGAGGUGAAAUUCGUAGAUAUCGGGAGGAACACCGGUGGCGAAGGCGGCGAUCUGGGUCGAUACUGACGCUGAGGUGCGAAAGCGUGGGGAGCAAACAGGG